This is a long non-coding RNA of Hipposideros armiger (great roundleaf bat), 1097 nucleotides long. RefSeq lists it as uncharacterized. The record is from RefSeq and is a predicted model, not a curated record. The transcript has 5 exons. Lineage: Eukaryota; Metazoa; Chordata; Mammalia; Chiroptera; Hipposideridae.
GGCGGGCGGGCGAGCGCUGGGGUCCGGGCUCCGGGCUGGCCCCACCGCCGCGUGCCCAGAGUGCGGGGAUCGCUCAGCAGCUGCAGUGACUGUGUGUCUGUGUCAUGUCUGUGCAGCUGGGGGGGGGACCGCGAACCCGGGCCGGGCUCCGAGCGGGGGCGGGGCCAGCGCCCGCCUGGGCGCCCACCCCCACCCCGUGAUGGCGCGGCCGGCCAAUGGCAGGCGCCGCAGCCCCGAGAACCGAGAGGCCGCCCCCGCCUAGGCUCCGCCCACCAGCUAGGCUCCUCCCUCCUGCUUCUUCAGCUAGCUCGCACGCAGGCGGAAGCAACACCCGGAUCCGGGAUCCGGCCCGGGUUAGGAUGAAAGGGUGCAAGCCGGGAGCUCCCCGCCCUUCUUCCCCAGCCCGGCCUCUCCCCGCCGCUUCGGGCUUGGCGAGCCUCGCGGAAAGAGGGGGAAGGGGAGCGGGGCGGCUCCGCAGCUGCCGCCGUAGAGAUGCUUGCAGGCUCGCAGGGCCUUGCUGCCUGAACACUCCCCCUUGUACAAAGCCACCGUCGUAGGAAGUGGGAAGUUUCUACUGCUUCCACCUUCUACUCGGGUCGCCGCUUCUCUGGAAGCCCCUCCUGCACCUCUGGAAUGCCUCCGCGAUGUAUCCUGUCGCCCUUUUCAGGCACAGCUCUGUCUCUGGUGGGAAGGACCACAAAAUGCUUAUAAAGGAUUUGGAUGGAAACUGGUGACAACUGGAAAUGUUACCAAAAAAAAGCGCCAUUUCAUACAAUGGAAACUACUACUGUUGGCAGACCUGCCUAUUUCUCCAGCCGCUUUGCAUCUUAGAGAACACGGGACUUGAAGCUGUUAAUAAGAGGGCCUCCUGUUACACAAUCCAGGGGUCAAAACUCACACACACACAAUACAACGGACACUUGGAGCAAGACCAUCAGUUAAGGAGGAAAAGUGUUCCCCUGGGCAUGACAUCAGUAUGACAGUGGCAAAUAAAAAAGAAGAAGGCGAAUGACGUCACGGAGAUCUAAAUUUAUCACCAGGAGGAAGGGAGUCUAAUGAUUCCAUGACGGUCUCAGGCUCCAUGAUUAUAAAAGAGA